UGCAACCUGCAGCUUCCUCUCUAUCUCAUGUCCAACACCUCAGAUAUCUGCAGAGCCACAGGGAGCAGAGCUGUUUUGCAGGCUGAUAGGAUGGAGAGAUGAAGUUUCCUCCACAGCCCUGGGAAGACCACAGAGCUUCGCAUGCUCUGUGCACAUGUGUGCAAACUCACUCAGCAUAAGAGCAGAAAGAAACCUACAGAGCCUUAUGUCUGAUCCUUGCCCCAAAAGGCAGGAGACUCAAGAGGGACCAACCUGCCAUGAGUAAAAUGGCACGUUGCUGCUUCCCUGCCACCCCAGAGAAGUCCGCAAGCUGGAGAACCCUGUGGGCAGCCUCACAUCCUGCUUUUGACUAGGGAAUAGGAGCAAACACUCCCACCCUCAGCUCACAGUCAGCCAACGGAAAAAUUUCUCUUUCAAAGCUGCCUACCAAGCUUUGCCCACACUGCAGCAGUGGCCUCGCUCUCUUCACUGGGACACAAGUGUGCUGGGCGAGCUUCCCAUGCUGCAGUCUUUAGGCAGGGAAGAACAGUGCCCUGGGCUCUGCUCAUCAGUGCCAUACUGAAACAGAUAUGCAGCACAUGGUGAACAAUUAACCACCUGUAUAUAGCACAGGAAUGAUGUCAAAGCUCUUCCAAAGACACAUAGCACUGGUUCUGGCCUUUGGAAAUUUCCUGGAGACAGGAGACAACCUUUUGCCUAGAAGAGACAGAAAAGAGUCCAGGGAAGAAGCUCAUCUUUCAGAAACACACAAACCAACUGUCAGAGCUCUCAGGGCUCCUUCUAAUCAAUAUGAAACUAUGCUGUGCUCCAGAGAAAAGAAUGCACUUCGAGGAGUGUGGUACUCACUUGUGUUUCUACCCUCUGUGGUAAGUGGAAGAAGAAGCACGCAGGGGCCUGUCGUGUCACCAAGUGAGCCCUGCCAUUUGGCAAUAUCUGAAUUUUCAUUUCAAGCAUUUGUAGAGCCUGUUUGUAAAAAGCCUAUUGCAGAGAGGGCACAUGUCAAGAUUUCUGUAUAUAAAGCAGAUAUCUCUAGGAUCACUAUUACUGCACAAGCUGCUUCUGGGACACUGAUCUCUGACAGCUCCCUGCCCCAGCUUAAAUAUUCAAAGAUUUCCCUGCUGACUGCAGGAAUCAGACAUCCAGAUUUUAAGUUCAAAGUUGUGCUAAUAAAUAUGAGAUCAACAAAUAAAAAACAGUUUCAA
This is a long non-coding RNA of Cyanistes caeruleus (blue tit), 1202 nucleotides long. RefSeq lists it as uncharacterized. Lineage: Eukaryota; Metazoa; Chordata; Aves; Passeriformes; Paridae. The record is from RefSeq and is a predicted model, not a curated record.